UGCAGUCGACGGAACGAUGGGAGCUUGCUCUCAGGCGUCGAGUGGCGGACGGGUGAGUAAUACAUAGGAAUCUGCCCAGUAGCGGGGGACAACUUGGGGAAACUCAAGCUAAUACCGCAUACGCCCUACGGGGGAAAGCAGGGGAUCUUCGGACCUUGCACUAUUGGAUGAGCCUAUGUCAGAUUAGCUUGUUGGUGGGGUAACGGCCUACCAAGGCGACGAUCUGUAGCUGGUCUGAGAGGACGAUCAGCCACACUGGGACUGAGACACGGCCCAGACUCCUACGGGAGGCAGCAGUGGGGAAUAUUGCACAAUGGGCGAAAGCCUGAUGCAGCAAUGCCGCGUGUGUGAAGAAGGCCUGCGGGUUGUAAAGCACUUUCAGUAGGGAGGAAACAGUUGCGGGUUAAUAUCCCGCGACCUUGACGUUACCUACAGAAGAAGCACCGGCUAACUCUGUG
RNAcentral lists this ribosomal RNA (458 nucleotides) under uncultured bacterium. RNAcentral describes it as "bacterial SSU rRNA". It matches the Rfam family "Bacterial small subunit ribosomal RNA", at positions 56 to 507 of the family's 1533-position model. The record is from RNAcentral.